AAGCAAUUAAUUCAAAUUAAGGAAGAAUGUUUCAUUUACGCUGGAAAAGUUAAUGGUUCGAAUCCAUUAUUGCUUAC
RNAcentral lists this transfer RNA (77 nucleotides) under Polysiphonia sp. Its description in RNAcentral is "tRNA-Val". It matches the Rfam family "tRNA". From Rfam's summary of the family: Transfer RNA (tRNA) molecules are approximately 80 nucleotides in length. Their secondary structure includes four short double-helical elements and three loops (D, anti-codon, and T loops). Further hydrogen bonds mediate the characteristic L-shaped molecular structure. tRNAs have two regions of fundamental functional importance: the anti-codon, which is responsible for specific mRNA codon recognition, and the 3' end, to which the tRNAs corresponding amino acid is attached (by aminoacyl-tRNA synthetases). tRNAs cope with the degeneracy of the genetic code in two manners: having more than one tRNA (with a specific anti-codon) for a particular amino acid; and 'wobble' base-pairing, i.e. permitting non-standard base-pairing at the 3rd anti-codon position. The record is from RNAcentral. Lineage: Eukaryota; Rhodophyta; Florideophyceae; Ceramiales; Rhodomelaceae.